AACGAACGCUGGCGGCGUGGAUAAGACAUGCAAGUCGAACGGGAUUUUUUUCUGUAGCAAUACAGAGAAAAGUCUAGUGGCGAACGGGUGCGUAACACGUGAGCAACCUGCCGUGAAGUGGGGGAUAGCUCGCCGAAAGGCGAAUUAAUACCGCAUGUGGCCAAGGAAGACAUCUUCCUGACGCCAAAGCCGGGGCAACCUGGCGCUUCUCGAGGGGCUCGCGGCCUAUCAGCUUGUUGGUGAGGUAACGGCUCACCAAGGCUAUGACGGGUAGCUGGUCUGAGAGGACGACCAGCCACACUGGAACUGAGACACGGUCGAGACACCUACGGGUGGCAGCAGUCGAGAAUUUUUCACAAUGGGGGAAACCCUGGUGGAGCGACGCCGCGUGGAGGAUGAAGGUUUUCGGAUUGUAAACUCCUGUCAUUAGAGAACAAGGCACACGGUUUAACUGGCCGUGUGUUGAUAGUAUCUGAAGAGGAAGAGACGGCUAACUCUGUGCCAGCAGCAGCCGCCG
This 517-nucleotide ribosomal RNA is filed under the name uncultured bacterium. Its description in RNAcentral is "partial 16S ribosomal RNA". It matches the Rfam family "Bacterial small subunit ribosomal RNA", at positions 29 to 523 of the family's 1533-position model. The record is from RNAcentral.